AUUGAACGCUGGCGGCAGGCCUAACACAUGCAAGUCGAGCGGAUGAGAGGAGCUUGCUCUUCGAUUCAGCGGCGGACGGGUGAGUAAUGCCUAGGAAUCUGCCUAGUAGUGGGGGACAACGUUUCGAAAGGAACGCUAAUACCGCAUACGUCCUACGGGAGAAAGUGGGGGAUCUUCGGACCUCACGCUAUUAGAUGAGCCUAGGUCGGAUUAGCUAGUUGGUAGGGUAAAGGCCUACCAAGGCGACGAUCCGUAUCUGGUCUGAGAGGAUGAUCAGUCACACUGGAACUGAGACACGGUCCAGACUCCUACGGAAGGCAGCAGUGGGGAAUAUUGGACAAUGGGCGAAAGCCUGAUCCAGCAAUGCCGCGUGUGUGAAGAAGGCCUUCGGGUCGUAAAGCACUUUAAGUUGGGAGGAAGGGCUCAUAGCGAAUACCUGUGAGUUUUGACGUUACCAACAGAAUAAGCACCGGCUAACUUCGUGCCAGCAGCCGCCGUAA
RNAcentral lists this ribosomal RNA (500 nucleotides) under uncultured bacterium. RNAcentral's name for it is "partial 16S ribosomal RNA". It matches the Rfam family "Bacterial small subunit ribosomal RNA", at positions 30 to 523 of the family's 1533-position model. The record is from RNAcentral.